GUCACAUACCAUAUCCCGUAAGAUCAUCGAAGUUAAGCAACGUCGUGCCUGGUCUGUACCUAGAUGGGUGACCGUUUAGGAUUACCAAAUG
Non-coding RNA from Acanthosepion pharaonis, 91 nucleotides. The record is from the annotation of a GenBank genome assembly. NCBI's taxonomy places the organism in Eukaryota, Metazoa, Mollusca, Cephalopoda, Sepiida, Sepiidae.